UCGGCAACGGAUAUCUCGGCUCUCGCAUCGAUGAAGAACGUAGCGAAAUGCGAUACUUGGUGUGAAUUGCAGAAUCCCGUGACCAUCGAGUCUUUGAACGCAAGUUGCGACUGAAGCCACCCGGCUGAGGGCACGUCUGCCUGGGCGUCACGC
RNAcentral lists this ribosomal RNA (153 nucleotides) under Craniolaria annua. RNAcentral's name for it is "5.8S ribosomal RNA". It matches the Rfam family "5.8S ribosomal RNA". Rfam says of the family: 5.8S ribosomal RNA (5.8S rRNA) is a component of the large subunit of the eukaryotic ribosome. It is transcribed by RNA polymerase I as part of the 45S precursor that also contains 18S and 28S rRNA. Functionally, it is thought that 5.8S rRNA may be involved in ribosome translocation. The record is from RNAcentral. Lineage: Eukaryota; Viridiplantae; Streptophyta; Magnoliopsida; Lamiales; Martyniaceae.